AUUGAACGCUGGCGGAAUGCUUUACACAUGCAAGUCGAACGGCAGCACGGACUUCGGUCUGGUGGCGAGUGGCGAACGGGUGAGUAACAUAUCGGAACGUAUCCAAUAAUGGGGGAUAACUAAUCGAAAGGUUGGCUAAUACCGCAUACGCCCUAUGGGGGAAAGCUAGGGACCUUCGGGCCUGGCGUUAAUGGAGCGGCCGAUAUCUGAUUAGCUAGUUGGUGGGGUAAAGGCCCACCAAGGCGACGAUCAGUAGCUGGUCUGAGGGGACGACCAGCCACACUGGAACUGAGACACGGUCCAGACUCCUACGGGAGGCAGCAGUGGGGAAUUUUGGACAAUGGGCGCAAGCCUGAUCCAGCCAUUCCGCAUGAGUGAAGAAGGCCUUCGGGUUGCAAAGCUCUUUCGCAAGGGAAGAAAACUUAGCCACUAACAUUGGCUGAGGUUGACGGUACCUUGAUAAGAAGCACCGGCUAACUACGUGCCAGCAGCCGCCGUAA
Molecule: ribosomal RNA, 500 nt
Filed under: uncultured bacterium
Lineage: Bacteria
Description: partial 16S ribosomal RNA
Rfam family: Bacterial small subunit ribosomal RNA
Source: RNAcentral